UCCUUGUUAGUAUAGUGGACAGUAUCACCGCCUGGCACGCGGGGGGCUGGGGUUCGAUUCCCCGACGGGGAG
Non-coding RNA from Archocentrus centrarchus (flier cichlid), 72 nucleotides. The record is from the annotation of a RefSeq genome assembly. NCBI's taxonomy places the organism in Eukaryota, Metazoa, Chordata, Actinopteri, Cichliformes, Cichlidae.